Molecule: ribosomal RNA, 433 nt
Filed under: uncultured bacterium
Lineage: Bacteria
Description: partial 16S ribosomal RNA
Rfam family: Bacterial small subunit ribosomal RNA
Source: RNAcentral
AGCGAACGCUGGCGGCAGGCCUAACACAUGCAAGUCGAACGAACUCUUCGGAUUUAGUGGCGCACGGGUGAGUAACACGUGGGAACGUGCCUUUAGGUUCGGAAUAACUCAGGGAAACUUGUGCUAAUACCGAAUGUGCCCUUCGGGGGAAAGAUUUAUCGCCUUUAGAGCGGCCCGCGUCUGAUUAGCUAGUUGGUGAGGUAAAGGCUCACCAAGGCGACGAUCAGUAGCUGGUCUGAGAGGAUGAUCAGCCACAUUGGGACUGAGACACGGCCCAAACUCCUACGGGAGGCAGCAGUGGGGAAUAUUGCGCAAUGGGCGAAAGCCUGACGCAGCAAUGCCGCGUGAAUGAUGAAGGUCUUAGGAUUGUAAAGUUCUUUCACCGGGGACGAUAAUGACGGUACCGGGAGAAGAAGCCCCGGCUAACUUCGUG